RNAcentral lists this ribosomal RNA (496 nucleotides) under uncultured bacterium. RNAcentral's name for it is "partial 16S ribosomal RNA". It matches the Rfam family "Bacterial small subunit ribosomal RNA", at positions 28 to 506 of the family's 1533-position model. The record is from RNAcentral.
GAUGAACGCUGGCGGCGUGCCUAAUACAUGCAAGUCGAGCGAACGGACGAGAAGCUUGCUUCUCUGAUGUUAGCGGCGGACGGGUGUGUAACACGUGGAUAACCUACCUAUAAGACUGGGAUAACUUCGGGAAACCGGAGCUAAUACCGGAUGAUAUUUUGAACCGCAUGGUUCAAAAGUGAAAGACGGUCUUGCUGUCACUUAUAGAUGGAUCCGCGCUGCAUUAGCUAGUUGGUAAGGUAACGGCUUACCAAGGCAACGAUGCAUAGCCGACCUGAGAGGGUGAUCGGCCACACUGGAACUGAGACACGGUCCAGACUCCUACGGGAGGCAGCAGUAGGGAAUCUUCCGCAAUGGGCGAAAGCCUGACGGAGCAACGCCGCGUGAGUGAUGAAGGUCUUCGGAUCGUAAAACUCUGUUAUUAGGGAAGAACAUAUGUGUAAGUAACUGUGCACAUCUUGACGGUACCUAAUCAGAAAGCCACGGCUAACUACGU